This 77-nucleotide transfer RNA is filed under the name Canis lupus familiaris (dog). It matches the Rfam family "tRNA". From Rfam's summary of the family: Transfer RNA (tRNA) molecules are approximately 80 nucleotides in length. Their secondary structure includes four short double-helical elements and three loops (D, anti-codon, and T loops). RNAcentral also lists the same sequence under 1 other name. Lineage: Eukaryota; Metazoa; Chordata; Mammalia; Carnivora; Canidae. The record is from Rfam by way of RNAcentral.
ACCUGUCUGGCUCAGUCAAAAGAGCAUGAGGCUCUUGAUCUUGGGUGGGGUCAUGGGUUCAAACCCCAUGUUGAGUG